Molecule: unclassified non-coding RNA, 347 nt
Filed under: plant metagenome
Description: partial contains 5.8S ribosomal RNA, internal transcribed spacer 2, and large subunit ribosomal RNA
Rfam family: 5.8S ribosomal RNA (bases 1-105)
Source: RNAcentral
GAAAUGCGAUAAGUAAUGUGAAUUGCAGAAUUCAGUGAAUCAUCAAAUCUUUGAACGCACAUUGCGCUCUCGGGUAUUCCUGGGAGCAUGCCUGUUUGAGUAUCAGUAAAUCAAUCAUAACCUUUUUGGUUGUGGAAUUGAGCUUGACCGUGCGUCACAGCGCGGAAGCUUUAAAGUCAUUGUUUGGCCUAGCAACUAUACUGAUGGCUGAUAAGCGUGACAAAUCGCCCUUAAGGGUAAAUGCGUUCGCUGUUUAGGCUAUUAGUCAAUGGAUGUUAGUUACCUUCGUACAUUUGACAUUUUGAUCUUGAUCUCAAAUCAGGUAAGACUACCCGCUGAACUUAAGC